CCAGACUCCUACGGGAGGCAGCAGUGGGGGAUAUUGCACAAUGGGGGGAACCCUGAUGCAGCGACGCCGCGUGGGUGAAGGAGCGUUUCGGCGCGUAAAGCCCUAUCGGCAGGGAAGAAAAUGACGGUACCUGAUUAAGAAGCCCCGGCUAACUACGUGCCAGCAGCCGCGGUAAUACGUAGGGGGCAAGCGUUAUCCGGAUUUACUGGGUGUAAAGGGAGCGUAGACGGCAGCACAAGUCUGGAGUGAAAUCCCGGGGCUUAACCCCGGAACUGCUUUGGAAACUGUGCGGCUGGAGUGCAGGAGGGGUAAGCCGAAUUCCUAGUGUAGCGGUGAAAUGCGUAGAUAUUAGGAGGAACACCGGUGGCGAAGGCGGCUUACUGGACUGUAACUGACGUUGAGGCUCGAAAGCGUGGGGAGCAAACAGGAUUAGAUACCCCCGUAC
RNAcentral lists this ribosomal RNA (445 nucleotides) under uncultured bacterium. RNAcentral describes it as "bacterial SSU rRNA". It matches the Rfam family "Bacterial small subunit ribosomal RNA", at positions 331 to 793 of the family's 1533-position model. The record is from RNAcentral.